Molecule: ribosomal RNA, 198 nt
Filed under: Triticum aestivum (bread wheat)
Lineage: Eukaryota; Viridiplantae; Streptophyta; Magnoliopsida; Poales; Poaceae
Description: partial small subunit ribosomal RNA
Source: RNAcentral
AUGGCGAUCGGUCACCUCCGUGCCUUCCUGGUUUUCCUCCUCGUGCAGGUCUGGCUGUUCUUGAUGAUGGUUGCGUCGGCGAAGGUGCAGGGAAGGCCUGUGGGCGUGGCGUCGGUUCCCGCAUGCUGCACCUACCACGUCGAGUGCUGCCAACGUCUGACGGCGGAAGCCCCGAUCGCCGCCACCGCUCUUCCCUGA